RNAcentral lists this transfer RNA (83 nucleotides) under Aspergillus japonicus. RNAcentral's name for it is "tRNA-His". Lineage: Eukaryota; Fungi; Ascomycota; Eurotiomycetes; Eurotiales; Aspergillaceae. The record is from RNAcentral.
AAGAUGAGAUCGUAGUGGAAAACGACUUAAGCUAUGCUCUUAAAGGCUAUAAGCCAUCAAAGGUUCGAUUCCUUUUCUUCCUA